Molecule: transfer RNA, 72 nt
Filed under: Camelus bactrianus (Bactrian camel)
Lineage: Eukaryota; Metazoa; Chordata; Mammalia; Artiodactyla; Camelidae
Also listed under: 1 other name
Rfam family: tRNA
About the family: Transfer RNA (tRNA) molecules are approximately 80 nucleotides in length.
Source: Rfam by way of RNAcentral
GAGGGUAUAUCUCAGUGGUAGAGUGCCUGCUUAGCAUAUACGAGGUCUUGGGUUCAAUCCCUAGUACUUCCA